This 799-nucleotide ribosomal RNA is filed under the name uncultured Glomeromycotina. RNAcentral's name for it is "SSU rRNA". It matches the Rfam family "Eukaryotic small subunit ribosomal RNA", at positions 314 to 1114 of the family's 1831-position model. Lineage: Eukaryota; Fungi; Glomeromycota. The record is from RNAcentral.
AUCAACUUUCGAUGGUAGGAUAGAGGCCUACCAUGGUGGUAACGGGUAACGGGGUGUUAGGGCACGACACCGGAGAGGGAGCCUGAGAAACGGCUACCACAUCCAAGGAUGGCAGCAGGCGCGCAAAUUACCCAAUCCCGACACGGGGAGGUAGUGACAAUAAAUAACAAUACGGGGUUCUUUCGGAUUUCGUAAUUGGAAUGAGUACAAUUUAAAUCUCUUAACGAGGAACAAUUGGAGGGCAAGUCUGGUGCCAGCAGCCGCGGUAAUUCCAGCUCCAAUAGCGUAUAUUAAAGUUGUUGCAGUUAAAAAGCUCGUAGUUGAAUUUCGGGAUCAAUACGUCGGUCGUGCCUCUGGUAUGUACUGGUGUUAUUGAUUUCUCCCUUCUGAUGAACCAUGAUGUCAUUAAUUUGGUGUUGUGUGGAGUCAGGACUGUUACUUUGAAAAAAUUAGAGUGUUUAAAGCAGGCUAACGCUUGAAUACAUUAGCAUGGAAUAAUGAAAUAGGACGUUCGAUCUUAUUUUGUUGGUUUCUAGGAUUGACGUAAUGAUUAAUAGGGAUAGUUGGGGGCAUUAGUAUUCAAUUGUCAGAGGUGAAAUUCUUGGAUUUAUUGAAGACUAACUACUGCGAAAGCAUUUGCCAAGGAUGUUUUCAUUAAUCAAGAACGAAAGUUAGGGGAUCGAAGACGAUCAGAUACCGUCGUAGUCUUAACCAUAAACUAUGCCGACUAGGGAUCGGAUGAUGUUAAUUUUUUAAUGACUCAUUCGGCGCCUUACGGGAAACCAAAGUGUUUGGGUUC